RNAcentral lists this ribosomal RNA (433 nucleotides) under uncultured Oscillospiraceae bacterium. RNAcentral describes it as "partial 16S ribosomal RNA". It matches the Rfam family "Bacterial small subunit ribosomal RNA", at positions 341 to 792 of the family's 1533-position model. The record is from RNAcentral. Lineage: Bacteria; Bacillati; Bacillota; Clostridia; Eubacteriales; Oscillospiraceae.
ACGGAAGGCAGCAGUGGGGGAUAUUGCACAAUGGGCGAAAGGCUGAUGCAGCGACGCCGCGUGAGGGAAGACGGUUUUCGGAUUGUAAACCUCUGUCUUCGGGGACGAAAAUGACGGUACCCGAGGAGGAAGCCACGGCUAACUACGUGCCAGCAGCCGCGGUAAUACGUAGGUGGCAAGCGUUGUCCGGAAUUACUGGGUGUAAAGGGAGAAUAGGCGGGACUGCAAGUCCGUUGUUAAAUCUAUCGGCUCAACCGAUAGCUGCGGCGGAAACUGUAGUUCUUGAGUGAAGUAGAGGCAGGCGGAAUUCCUAGUGUAGCGGUGAAAUGCGUAGAUAUUAGGAGGAACACCAGUGGCGAAGGCGGCCUGCUGGGCUUUAACUGACGCUGAGGCUCGAAAGUGUGGGGAGCAAACAGGAUUAGAUACCCUGGUA